AGGAGAGAGGAUCCUGCGCUGCCAGCGCUGCGAGGCGGCAGCAGCAGCGCCGUGCGCCGGGCCGGGCCGGGAUGGGCGGCCCUGCUCCGCCGCCGCCGCGCUCAUCGCCCUCGCCCCCGGCCCCGCGGGGUCAGCCCGGGCUCCGCUGGCCGGGGAUCAGCCUCCGGGUCUGAUCCGGGAUCCCUCACCGGGAUCCAGCUGCCCUCCCUCCCCUUCCCCCCUCUCCGCUGCUGGCUCUGUGCCUGCUGGCCCAGCGGGCUAGUGGCAGGGCCCGGGGCCCCCCCCCCCCCCCCCCCCCCCCCCCCCCCCCCCCCCCCCCCCCCCCCCCCCCCCCCCCCCCCCCCCCCCCCCCCCCCAGCCCCGGGAGCACUGAGGCAGCCGUUUGACAGCCAGGGCACCCUGCAGGAACGAGCUGCCCCUGGCGCUUCAGGUGGUCAGGCAGGGAAUGCCCAGAACCGGCAGAACGAGGCAGGAACUCGGAAGUCUUUUUCAGCAGCGAUUCACUAGUUUUAACUGAAACUUUGAGGCAGACACAUGGUGACAAGAUAGUGACUGCAACCUUUGUUCAUGCUCCAAAAUCCCACCAGAGCCACUGGAGGAAAACAAGUCUCGGGGAAAGGCCUCCAACAGUGAAAUAAAUUAUGUGAGGAUUCAAACAAGUCCUAACCUGACAUUUUUCAGAGUGAAAUGCAGGACC
This 697-nucleotide long non-coding RNA is filed under the name Ficedula albicollis (Collared flycatcher). RNAcentral describes it as "lncRNA (ENSFALG00000024724.1)". The record is from RNAcentral. Lineage: Eukaryota; Metazoa; Chordata; Aves; Passeriformes; Muscicapidae.